Molecule: long non-coding RNA, 925 nt
Filed under: Theobroma cacao (cacao)
Lineage: Eukaryota; Viridiplantae; Streptophyta; Magnoliopsida; Malvales; Malvaceae
Description: long non-coding RNA (TCAC_LNC004811)
Source: RNAcentral
UUUAUAAAAUCAUUUUAUAAAAUCACAAUUUCUCCUAAAAUAUAUCAAUUUACCAUUUAAACCCAUUUUCUAUAAAAUCACACAAUUGUAUAAAACUACUCUAGAUAAUUAAGACGAUAAUAAGUUUACUCACAGUUCUAGGAGUCGAUGUACUCCUAAUCCCAGUCUUCAAGCACAAUCUCUAUACUUUUACCAAUGUAAUUUGCUCACCACCUAUCCACAAUGUACAAUACAUAAUUCACCACAUUAAUGCUUGACCAUUAUAAAUCAAUUCAGGCUCGGUGUAUAUGCAUAAUAUGAUAUGCAACUUAUCCGACUACUACUUAAAUGCGGUGCUGACCUAAUUUGGCCUAUUACCCGAUUAAAUGACAAUUAUGUCCGACUUGGCUCCAAAUUGCUCCAUUUCAUUUCUAAUAUCUCAAUUCACCAAACUCAAAUCAAAUAACCUAAAAUUUGGCAAAACUAUCUUCACUUUUCUUCUUAAAAUUUUUGGCCAAUAAUGGUGCAUUAACAUCGUGAUUUUUCCUACUACUUUUUCACACCAUAAUUCAUCAUUUUUUAACCAAUUCUCCUAGAAUAAAAAUCAAAUUCAUCCUCACGUAACACAUGGUAAAUUCGGCCAUUGAUGGUUGUUGGAGAAAAUGAAUUCUUUUCUUGUUGUUUUGUUUCUAAAUAUGCUAAACUAACGAAAAACACUAACAUAUCUUAAAAUCAUAUCAAUCCAACAUCUUUCUCUCUCCUUACCCAUUUUGACCAGCCAUAAAUUCAUCAUGAAAACAUGUAAUUUAAGCAUGGAAAAUAAGGAGAAAUGCUUAAGGAAAAUAGAUUUCAAGCUUAAGUUGAAAAAUCCUACCUUUUUCACUUGUUUUCCUUGAUUUUCCACACUUUUUCUCUUGAAAUUCUUCACCUAGGGUUUGUUCUUNNN